GAGAGGUGCUGCAUGGCUGUCGUCAGCUCGUGUUGUGAAAUGUUGGGUUAAGUCUCGCAACGAGCGCAACCCCUAUCGUCUGUUGCCAGCAUUAAGUUGGGCACUCUAGAGAGACUGCCUGGGUUAACCAGGAGGAAGGUGGGGAUGACGUCAAGUCCUCAUGGCCCUUAUGUCUAGGGCUACACACGUAAUACAAUGGCGCGUACAAAGGGAAGCGAACUCGCAAGGGGGAGCAAAUCUCAAAAAGCGCGUCUCAGUCCGGAUUGGAGUCUGCAACUCGACUCCAUGAAGUUGGAAUCGCUAGUA
RNAcentral lists this ribosomal RNA (306 nucleotides) under uncultured Peredibacter sp. RNAcentral's name for it is "bacterial SSU rRNA". It matches the Rfam family "Bacterial small subunit ribosomal RNA", at positions 1033 to 1340 of the family's 1533-position model. Lineage: Bacteria; Pseudomonadati; Bdellovibrionota; Bacteriovoracia; Bacteriovoracales; Bacteriovoracaceae. The record is from RNAcentral.